CCUACGGGUGGCUGCAGUGGGGAAUUGUUCGCAAUGGGCGCAAGCCUGACGACGCAACGCCGCGUGGAGGAUGAAGGUCUUCGGAUUGUAAACUCCUGUUGAUCGGGACGAACAACCAUCGGGAUAACACCCCGGAGGUCUGACGGUACCGAUUGAGGAAGCCCCGGCUAACUCUGUGCCAGCAGCCGCGGUAAUACAGAGGGGGCAAGCGUUGUUCGGAAUUACUGGGCGUAAAGGGCGCGUAGGCGGCCGCCUAAGUCAGACGUGAAAUCCCU
This 275-nucleotide ribosomal RNA is filed under the name uncultured bacterium. Its description in RNAcentral is "partial 16S ribosomal RNA". It matches the Rfam family "Bacterial small subunit ribosomal RNA", at positions 338 to 604 of the family's 1533-position model. The record is from RNAcentral.